This 406-nucleotide ribosomal RNA is filed under the name uncultured bacterium. RNAcentral's name for it is "partial 16S ribosomal RNA". It matches the Rfam family "Bacterial small subunit ribosomal RNA", at positions 30 to 526 of the family's 1533-position model. The record is from RNAcentral.
AUUGAACGCUGGCGGCAGGCCUAACACAUGCAAGUCGAACGAGUGGCGGACGGGUGAGUAAUGUCUGGGAAACUGCCCGAUGGAGGGGGAUAACUACUGGAAACGGUAGCUAAUACCGCAUACCAUCGGAGGUGCCCCGAUGGGAUUUGCUAGUAGGGGGGGUAAAGGCUCACCCAGGCGACGAUCCCUAGCUUGUCUGAGAGGAUGACCAGCCACACUGGGACUGAGAAACGGUCCAGACUCCUACGGGAGGCAGCAGUGGGGAAUAUUGCACAAUGGGCGCAAGCCUGAUGGAGCCAUGCCGCGUGUAUGAAGAAGGCCUUCGGGUUGUAAAGUACUUUCAGCGGGGAGGCGUUACCCGCAGAAGAAGCACCGGCUAACUCCGGGCCAGCCGCCGCGGUAAUUC